GAAACGAUGUGGGAAGGCUUAGACAGCUAGGAUGUUGGCUUAGAAGCAGCCAUCAUUUAAAGAAAGCGUAAUAGCUCACUAGUCGAGUCGGCCUGCGCGGAAGAUGUAACGGGGCUAAGUAAUAAACCGAAGCUGCGGCAAUGAAGUUUACUUCAUUGGGUAGGGGAGCGUUCUGUAAGCCGUUGAAGGUGAGUUGUAAAGCUUGCUGGAGGUAUCAGAAGUGCGAAUGCUGACAUGAGUAACGAUAAAGGGGGUGAAAAACCCCCUCGCCGGAAGACCAAGGGUUCCUGUCCAACGUUAAUCGGGGCAGGGUAAGUCGACCCCUAAGGCGAGGCCGAAAGGCGUAGUCGAUGGGAAACGGGUUAAUAUUCCCGUACUUCUUACAAUUGCGAUGGGGGGACGGAGAAGGCUAGGUGGGCCUGGCGACGGUUGUCCAGGUUCAAGUGCGUAGGCUUGAGAGUUAGGUAAAUCCGGCUCUCUUUAAGGCUGAGACACGAUGUCGAGCUACUACGGUAGUGAAGUCAUUGAUGCCAUGCUUCCAGGAAAAGCCUCUAAGCUUCAGAUUGUAAGGAAUCGUACCCCAAACCGACACAGGUGGUCGGGUAGAGAAUACCAAGGCGCUUGAGAGAACUCGGGUGAAGGAACUAGGCAAAAUGGUACCGUAACUUCGGGAGAAGGUACGCUCUUGACGGUGAAGUCCCUUGCGGAUGGAGCUAUUGAGAGUCGCAGAUACCAGGUGGCUGCAACUGUUUAUUAAAAACACAGCACUGUGCAAAAUUGUAAGAUGACGUAUACGGUGUGACGCCUGCCCGGUGCCGGAAGGUUAAUUGAUGGGGUUAGACUUCGG
This 847-nucleotide ribosomal RNA is filed under the name Vibrio vulnificus. RNAcentral's name for it is "partial 23S ribosomal RNA". It matches the Rfam family "Bacterial large subunit ribosomal RNA", at positions 1067 to 1902 of the family's 2925-position model. The record is from RNAcentral. Lineage: Bacteria; Pseudomonadati; Pseudomonadota; Gammaproteobacteria; Vibrionales; Vibrionaceae.